RNAcentral lists this ribosomal RNA (387 nucleotides) under marine Metazoa environmental sample. Its description in RNAcentral is "SSU rRNA". It matches the Rfam family "Eukaryotic small subunit ribosomal RNA", at positions 587 to 972 of the family's 1831-position model. The record is from RNAcentral. Lineage: Eukaryota; Metazoa.
AGCUCCAAUAGCGUAUACUAAAGUUGUUGCGGUUAAAAAGCUCGUAGUUGGAUCUUGGAGCGUGUUCUCGCGGUCAAACCAAUGGUUUGUACUGCUUGAUGUGCUCUUCUAUUUGGUUGCGCGUGUGUGUUCUCUUAGUUGAGUGCCACACUCGACCGAAACGUUUACCUUGAAAAAAUUAGAGUGUUCAAAGCAGACCUGUUUGUGUCUGAAUAUUCGUGCAUGGAAUAAUGAAAUAUGAAUUCGGUUCUAUUUUGUUGGUUUUCGGAACUCGAGUUAAUGAUUAAGAGGGACAGACGGGGGCAUUAGUACUCUGCCGUUAGAGGUGAAAUUCUUGGAUCGGCGGAAGACUCGCAACUGCGAAAGCAUUUGCCAAGAAUGUUUUCU